This 406-nucleotide ribosomal RNA is filed under the name uncultured bacterium. RNAcentral's name for it is "partial 16S ribosomal RNA". It matches the Rfam family "Bacterial small subunit ribosomal RNA", at positions 28 to 526 of the family's 1533-position model. The record is from RNAcentral.
GAUGAACGCUGACAGCAUGCUUAACACAUCAGCAAUUGAUUGGUGGCGGACGGUUGAUUAACGCGUAAAGAACUUGCCUCACAGGUAGGGACAACAUUUGGAAACGAAUGCUACUACCUAAUACUGUGAGAGAGCUUUGCGUCCCAUUAGCUAGUUGGAGAGGUAACGGCUCACAAAGGCGAUGAUGGGUAGCCGGCCUGAGAGGGUGAUAGGCCACAAGGGGGCUGAGACACGGCCCUUACGCCGACGGGAGGCAGCAGUGUGGAAUAUGGGACAAUGGACCAAAGUCUGAUUCAGCAAUUCUGUGUGCACGAUGAAGUUUUCGGAAUGUAAAGUGCUUUCAGUUGGGAAGUGGUACCAACAGAAGAAGUGACGGCUAAAUACGUGCCAGCAGCCGCGGUAAUUC